ACCUCCUCUCCAUCUCUCUCUACUUUCUCUCUCUACCGCUCCUCGUGACGUCGCGUGCCCACGUCUCCCACGCCCCCCCGUCCCUCCUCCUCCAGAUCCGGUCUCCCCAGCCGCCGCCGAUGUCCGAAGAUCUAGCGGGAUCCCGCCGCUGGCGGUGCGACCUCUGCGGCGAUGACCGCUGGCUGUCGGGGGCCGCCGGCGACGACCACUUCGACCGCCUCCCCGACGCGCUCCUCCUCGUCAUCUUCAACCGCAUCGGCGACGUCAAGGCGCUCGGCCGCUGCUCCAUCGUCUCCCGCCGCUUCCACGAGCUCGUCCCCCUCGUCGACUCCGUCCUCGUCCGCGUCGACUGCGUCAUCCCCGACGAGCCCCCCUCCUCCUCCUCGCCGUCCGCGCCGUCCUCCCCCACGGCCUCUGUACGCGCCCGCGGGGUCUUCUCACAGAUCGCGCGCAUCGUGCUCGGCGGCAUCGUGAAGCCCAUCCAGGCGCUCGGCCAGAUCCUCUCACCGGCCCACUCUGCCUCCGGCUUUUCGGCAUCCUCCGCUUCCUCGUCGUCAUCUUUCCCCCCAUCUUCGACGUCGUACUCGCCGUUGCCUCCUGGGGACGUAUCGCACCACUCGCCCUCGGAGGUGCUCCGCUCCUUCAAGGAGCUCCGCCACCUUCGCAUUGAGCUUCCGGCGGGCGAGCUUGGCACGGACGACGGCGUGAUGCUCAAGUGGAAGGCUGACUUCGGGUCCACGCUCGGCAGCUGCGUCAUCCUCGGCGCAUCCUCGGCCUCGCCGUCCCCUGCUGGCUCAGAUGGCGCGAGCACAGCUCCCUCUGUUGACAGUGGCCGCAGCGAGCCCGAGGAAUGUGACGAUUCAGGAAGCAUCCCAGAAUCGUUCUAUACAAAUGGGGGGCUGAGGCUGCGGGUGGUGUGGACAAUCAGCUCGCUGAUUGCAGCAGCAGGGAGGCAUUACUUGCUGCAGCCAAUCGUUGCUGACCACACAACGCUGGAAAGAUUGGACCUGACGGACGCAGAUGGGCAGGGAGUGCUCACCAUGGACAAGUGCCAACUGCAGGAGCUGCGGGUGAGACCGGUAUCAUCAUCUGCAGCCUCGCACCGGACCCUCAUGCCGGAGCUUAGCAUGUGGUUGUGGUACGCACCAUGCAUUGAGCUGCCUGGGGGGUUGGUGCUAAAUGGUGCGACUUUGGUGGCCAUCAAGCCGAGUGAGGAGGCUACAAGGGACAUGGUAGGGAAUGGGGCUGCUACGGCAGCCUGGGUUUUAGAUGCAUUCGAGGAGCCAUACCGGACAGCAGCGAGGAUGCUUCUCAAGCGGAGGACUUACACCCUUGAGAUGAAUUCAUUCUAAUCCAUAGAGGUGGCAUUUGGAAGCUUCAUAUAUGAGAGUUUACUCAGGUGGAACUAAGUUUUGGGCGGUCAGGACUCAGGACUGUUGCUACCUGGACACCCAUGUUCCUUUUUUUUCCAAGUCUUGCCAAGCACCUUUGUCAGAUUUUAAGUGGAUGUUAUACCUACAAGGGUCAUUUCUGGCUGCCUUUUUAUACCCCAAUCUGCACCUAUUUUGGAUGUGCUCCAAUUGUGAUGGAUGCAUUCCUUUCCGUGCUGCACAUCUGCCAGCAUUCCAGCAAGAACAUGGAUGGAAAUGAAGAGAAUCCAGGCGUUAAUUUAUCGAUGCUGGAGUAGAGAGGCAAGCUUGAGCUGAUGGUGUUUGCGCUGAGGGAGCUCCCUUAUCACUGAGAUCAGAUGUGGUGGCAUAGAUAUUUUUUUUCUUAUAGGUAUCCACAUCAAGGGACUAACCUUAUGUAAUUUCUGCUUUGGAUCGCACUGCUUGUUUGCAUAAUAGCAUCCGAUGUGCCCUGUAAAUCAACAUGUAUCAUGAGUGUACUCAUAGAUUGGACUGGAGUUAGCGAAAGCUGAAAACUGGUGAUACUACUUAAAAAGGAUUUGCAAGUGUUUUAGACUUGUAUCGUAAUA
Molecule: RNA transcript, 1978 nt
Organism: Panicum hallii
Lineage: Eukaryota; Viridiplantae; Streptophyta; Magnoliopsida; Poales; Poaceae
Gene name: F-box protein At5g46170-like
Exons: 3
Source: RefSeq, a predicted model, not a curated record